RNAcentral lists this unclassified non-coding RNA (357 nucleotides) under plant metagenome. RNAcentral's name for it is "partial contains 5.8S ribosomal RNA, internal transcribed spacer 2, and large subunit ribosomal RNA". The record is from RNAcentral.
CCUCCUCCCGUCCGGCGGACUUUCUUUGCGUUGACGAACUUGACAGCAGAGGCCGACAGCGGUCGCCCCUGCCUUACCGCACCCGGCAACAUUCUACUGAGCAGGAUAGACGACUCCGCAGGCGAGCCGAUCACCGGCGUCCCCGGACGGCUGAGACUCAUAAUCGUCUGCCCCGGCAUGGACAACGAGAGCCGUGCCAUCAUCGUCGUCCAGAGGUGCGUCACCACCGGUCAAGGAAACGUGCGGAUUGAUGUGAUCGAACUUGGCGGAGCCAUUCUGAGCGGCGAAGUUGGGCAUGUCGCCGGCGUGGAUCCCGCCUUCAACCAUGUAGCCAUGCUCCAUGUUGGUCGGAUUGUA